GCCGCCUUAGCUCAGUUGGUUAGAGCGCUUGAUUGUGGAUCAAGAGGUCUCUGGUUCGAUUCCAGAAGGCGGUACCA
RNAcentral lists this transfer RNA (77 nucleotides) under Parvularcula dongshanensis. RNAcentral describes it as "tRNA-His". It matches the Rfam family "tRNA". Rfam says of the family: Transfer RNA (tRNA) molecules are approximately 80 nucleotides in length. The record is from RNAcentral. Lineage: Bacteria; Pseudomonadati; Pseudomonadota; Alphaproteobacteria; Parvularculales; Parvularculaceae.